Molecule: ribosomal RNA, 586 nt
Filed under: uncultured bacterium
Lineage: Bacteria
Description: bacterial SSU rRNA
Rfam family: Bacterial small subunit ribosomal RNA
Source: RNAcentral
GAAAGGCGGGCUAAUACCGGAUAAUAUCUAAAAAACCUCGGUUUUAUAGAUCAAAGGUGGCCUCUACAUGUAAGCUUCUGUUUGAGGAUGAGCCCGCGUACCAUUAGCUUGUUGGUAGGGUAAUGGCCUACCAAGGCUACGAUGGUUAGCUGGUCUGAGAGGAUGAUCAGCCACACUGGAACUGACACACGGUCCAGACUCCUACGGGAGGCAGCAGUGAGGAAUCUUGCGCAAUGGGGGAAACCCUGACGCAGCAACGCCGCGUGAGUGAUGAAGGCUUUCGGGUCGUAAAGCUCUGUCAAGUGGGAAGAACCCACAUGGUGUUAAUACCGCCAUGUGCUGACGGUACCACUGAAGGAAGCACCGGCUAACUCCGUGCCAGCAGCCGCGGUAAUACGGGGGGUGCAAGCGUUAUUCGGAAUUACUGGGCGUAAAGAGCGCGUAGGCGGUCUCUUAAGUCAGGUGUGAAAGCCCGGGGCUCAACCCCGGAAGUGCACUUGAAACUAAGGGACUUGAGUAUGGGAGAGGGAAGUGGAAUUCCUGGUGUAGCGGUGAAAUGCGUAGAUAUCAGGAGGAACAUCGGUGG